GAUGAACGCUGGCGGCGCGCCUAACACAUGCAAGUCGAACGGAGAUCAUUUGGUAGAAGUUUUCGGAUGGACACCGGGUGAUCUUAGUGGCGAACGGGUGAGUAACGCGUGAGCAAUCUGCCUCAGAGUGGGGGACAACAGUUGGAAACGACUGCUAAUACCGCAUAAGCCCACAGCACCGCAUGGUGCAGGGGGAAAAGAUUUAUUGCUUUGAGAUGAGCUCGCGUCCAAUUAGCUAGUUGGUGAGGUAACGGCCCACCAAGGCAACGAUUGGUAGCCGGACUGAGAGGUUGAACGGCCACAUUGGGACUGAGAUACGGCCCAGACUCCUACGGGAGGCAGCAGUGGGGAAUAUUGCACAAUGGAGGAAACUCUGAUGCAGCCAUGCCGCGUGUGUGAAGAAGGCCUCGGUU
Molecule: ribosomal RNA, 413 nt
Filed under: uncultured bacterium
Lineage: Bacteria
Description: bacterial SSU rRNA
Rfam family: Bacterial small subunit ribosomal RNA
Source: RNAcentral